This 543-nucleotide ribosomal RNA is filed under the name Bifidobacterium pseudocatenulatum. Its description in RNAcentral is "bacterial SSU rRNA". It matches the Rfam family "Bacterial small subunit ribosomal RNA", at positions 157 to 711 of the family's 1533-position model. The record is from RNAcentral. Lineage: Bacteria; Bacillati; Actinomycetota; Actinomycetes; Bifidobacteriales; Bifidobacteriaceae.
CGGGUGGUAAUGCCGGAUGCUCCGACUCCUCGCAUGGGGUGUCGGGAAAGAUUUCAUCGGUAUGGGAUGGGGUCGCGUCCUAUCAGGUAGUCGGCGGGGUAACGGCCCACCGAGCCUACGACGGGUAGCCGGCCUGAGAGGGCGACCGGCCACAUUGGGACUGAGAUACGGCCCAGACUCCUACGGGAGGCAGCAGUGGGGAAUAUUGCACAAUGGGCGCAAGCCUGAUGCAGCGACGCCGCGUGCGGGAUGACGGCCUUCGGGUUGUAAACCGCUUUUGAUCGGGAGCAAGCCUUCGGGUGAGUGUACCUUUCGAAUAAGCACCGGCUAACUACGUGCCAGCAGCCGCGGUAAUACGUAGGGUGCAAGCGUUAUCCGGAAUUAUUGGGCGUAAAGGGCUCGUAGGCGGUUCGUCGCGUCCGGUGUGAAAGUCCAUCGCUUAACGGUGGAUCUGCGCCGGGUACGGGCGGGCUGGAGUGCGGUAGGGGAGACUGGAAUUCCCGGUGUAACGGUGGAAUGUGUAGAUAUCGGGAAAGAACACCA